RNAcentral lists this ribosomal RNA (231 nucleotides) under uncultured Eubacteriales bacterium. Its description in RNAcentral is "uncultured Clostridiales bacterium partial 16S ribosomal RNA". It matches the Rfam family "Bacterial small subunit ribosomal RNA", at positions 104 to 334 of the family's 1533-position model. Lineage: Bacteria; Bacillati; Bacillota; Clostridia; Eubacteriales. The record is from RNAcentral.
GGGGUGAGUAACGCGUGAGUAACCUGCCUUACACAAGGGGAUAGCCGUUGGAAACGACGAAUAAUACCCUAUGAAACUAUCACUUCGCAUGAAGCGAUAGUCAAAGUGUUAGCGGUGUAAGAUGGACUUGCGUCUGAUUAGCUAGUUGGUGAGAAAAAAGCCCACCAAGGCAACGAUCAGUAGCCGGCUUGAGAGAGUGUACGGCCACAUUGGGACUGAGACACGGCCCAG